CUCCCUUGGUAGGGUGGAGGUCACCAUGAUUGCAGUCUUGGGGCUGGCACGAGCAGAGCUGACCGGGCCAGCUGCCUUCCUCCUGCAUGCCAUGAUGAACCCAGGGAAGAGAGGCCGCAGGAAGACUCUCAUCUGGGAGGCUGGACAGAAUUUCAGACGGCCCGAGCUCACCUUCUUGCACCCCCAGGUUGCCCAACAGUGGCCUCAGAAUAGUCUGGGUGAUCUUGAGGGCGAGUUGCUUGAUGCGUUUGUACGGGUUCUAGCAUCCAGAGGUGUGGUCUUCCAUGAACCAGAUCUCGCUCUUGGCACGAGCAUUGCUGCUCAUGGUCCUGGGGGCUCCUUCUGGUCUCCUGGCUGCCAGUGGCCUUGGGUCCUUGGUGUGCAGUUGCCCACUCUCUGCCUGCUCCCUGGGCCCUUUCUACUCUCUUAUCAGGACACUCACUGGGGGCAGGGCCCACCACAGUCCAGGAUCACCGUCCUUACCAUAAUCAUCUCCGUGAAGGCCCUCUUUCCAAAUAAGACCACAUCCUGUGAUUCUGGGUGGACAUGAAUGUGCAGGGGACACUCGUCCAACCCACUGCCGCCCUCGACUGCCUGUACUCUUCCUUCUUUCUUCCCCCCAGUCUGUUGGUCUUCUCUUUUCUGUUGAGUGAGUCCAGCAGGCUACCUGCCAGUCUCAGCUCGGGCAUGUGACCCCUUCCUUUGGGGAUGGAAAAGCAUUCUCUUUGGCCUCGCCAGUCAGCCAGGCAUUCCAAGCUGGUCUUUCCAUUUGGGGCUUCUCAUCAGUUGGUCUAUUGUUUAUACAAAUCCCAAACCGUGGAACGCUCUUGGUAAACACUCUCCCACUUACUCUGAAAAUGCUGGCCCUGGGGCCUGAGAUUCCCCCCUUCCCCAGGAGAGCCGGGCUGGGCUUUUUUCACAGAUUUCGGGGCUUUUGGAAAGGGUGUGUUUUUCCUAACUCACUUCAAAUGCCUUUCUUAACAAAACCUCGGAACCUUUGGAAAAUGGAAAAGCAGUAGCUCAUCUGGAAGGAAAUUCCAAGUUUUAAGAACCUGCAACCAAAUCCUUGGCAUCCGCGGCUGUCCUUGGCGGGCAUCUCUGGCCGCCGGGUGCGUCUCCAGCCGAGACUUCUUCAUCUUGUUCCGUUGGUGGUCUAUGUUUAAAUUCCUGCUCAGAAUUUUUCCAGUGGGCCUUCUUCUCCUCCAGAAAAAGUCCAUGUGUGGUGCCAGCCCUGCGUCCGGUCCUGGUUCUCUGACGUCUGACCGUUCCGCGUGGCUGGAAACUCAGAGCAGGCGGUGGAGGGGAAGGCGGGCAGUGGCAGAGGCCGGGUUUGAGUGAGUCAUUGCCAGUCUUCAUGGUGUAACCGGGAGUCAUUCCAGGUUAGCGGUUUGUAAAGUGGUCAGCUCCAAGGGGAAUAGCCACCCCCGGGGAAUUUUAAAUAUAUAACAUGACAUCAAAGACCAAAGGUGCCCCAGGGCAUGGGUUUCUCAGCAGGGACCAGCAGGCUCACACUUGGAUGCCCUCAGAAAGCAGGUGAAGAGACCUGCUAAGAGCCACUUUCCCCACUUGGGAUCUCCAUUGAAUGGACACGAAGCCUGUGUGAGCUGUCACUGCCUGUCCCUCUGGCCACACUUGUCCUGGGUGGCCCCGCUGUGGUUCAGCUGAGAACUCUGCUUCCUGAGGAUGAGGAGAGUGGGAGAAGCUGUCUGGGAGACACUUUUAUGUGUUCCUGUCUCUGGGGAUCCCCUAAUGUGCCUGUGAACUGACCCCAACUGUUUAUGCAACAUUUUUUGAGCACCUGGUGCAUACCAGGAGAUGAUCUUGGGUCAUGAUUCCCUUUCCUGUGUUGUCCCAUCCGUCAGGGCAAGGUUGUUGUGAAGGACAAAGGACAAAGGGGACAAGGACUUGAGGAGGUGAGGAGCCACGUGCCUUGGGUGUGGGGAAGGAGUACCCUGUGGCGAGGACAGGUGGGCAGUGGGGAGGAGUCAGUGUUGGAACUGGGUUGAUUGGAUCAGCACUUGUCCCCUGUUGGUCUGACCCUGACUGACAGCCUGAAGUCCUCCGUGAGUGUUAGCCUCAGGUCAGGCCCUAAUGUGAAGCCUGAACUUGGCCUCUGACCUCAGCUGGCCGUGGACCUGGACCAGUCCCUGUGUCUCAGCUCUGCCUCAGCUCUGGCUCUGUGAAUCUGCCCCUUACCCAAAGAUCCCUGGAUGACCCUUGCCACUCAGCCUUCCAGGCUCGGGGUUCCUGCCCCACCACCCUGGAGGACCUCCCCGAGGCCGGCUCCUAACCCAGCCCUGCUUUCCCUCCAUGCAUCUGUGCUCUGAGAUCCACACUGUCACCCACUCACCACCGCUGGGCCACUGUGAGCACCAACCUAGCUCAGGCCUAGUGUCCCCUGCUGCAGUCCCUGUGGAAACAGCUCCUGCAGUGCUAGCCCACUCUGCUCUGGCUCCAGCGUGGCUCACCCUCGACCCCUCCUGCCUGUCUUCCUGAAAGUUAGCUAAUGGCAAGGCGUCUUUGGCUGGGGCCUCACACUUGGCUGGUGACUGCCAUUGCACAUGUCAUAAGGUAAG
Molecule: long non-coding RNA, 2576 nt
Filed under: Marmota monax (woodchuck)
Lineage: Eukaryota; Metazoa; Chordata; Mammalia; Rodentia; Sciuridae
Source: RNAcentral